GGGUUGUGAGGUUAAGCGACUAAGCGUACACGGUGGAUGCCCUGGCAGUCAGAGGCGAUGAAGGGCGUGCUAAUCUGCGAUAAGCGCCGGUAAGGUGAUAUGAACCGUUAUAACCGGCGAUACCCGAAUGGGGAAACCCAGUGUGAUUCGUCACACUAUCAUUAACUGAAUCCAUAGGUUAAUGAGGCGAACCGGGGGAACUGAAACAUCUAAGUACCCCGAGGAAAAGAAAUCAACCGAGAUUCCCCCAGUAGCGGCGAGCGAACGGGGAGGAGCCCAGAGCCUGAAUCAGCAUGUGUGUUAGUGGAAGCGUCUGGAAAGGCGCGCGAUACAGGGUGACAGCCCCGUACACAAAAGCGUAUGUGCUGUGAGCUCGAUGAGUAGGGCGGGACACGUGGUAUCCUGUCUGAAUAUGGGGGGACCAUCCUCCAAGGCUAAAUACUCCUGACUGACCGAUAGUGAACCAGUACCGUGAGGGAAAGGCGAAAAGAACCCCGGCGAGGGGAGUGAAAAAGAACCUGAAACCGUGUACGUACAAGCAGUGGGAGCACCCUUUGGGGUGUGACUGCGUACCUUUUGUAUAAUGGGUCAGCGACUUAUAUUCUGUAGCAAGGUUAACCGAAUAGGGGAGCCGGAGGGAAACCGAGUCUUAAUUGGGCGUUAAGUUGCAGGGUAUAGACCCGAAACCCGGUGAUCUAGCCAUGGGCAGGUUGAAGGUUGGGUAACACUAACUGGAGGACCGAACCGACUAAUGUUGAAAAAUUAGCGGAUGACCUGUGGCUGGGGGUGAAAGGCCAAUCAAACCGGGAGAUAGCUGGUUCUCCCCGAAAGCUAUUU
This 837-nucleotide ribosomal RNA is filed under the name Salmonella enterica. RNAcentral describes it as "partial 23S ribosomal RNA". It matches the Rfam family "Bacterial large subunit ribosomal RNA", at positions 1 to 871 of the family's 2925-position model. The record is from RNAcentral. Lineage: Bacteria; Pseudomonadati; Pseudomonadota; Gammaproteobacteria; Enterobacterales; Enterobacteriaceae.